AUUGAACGCUGGCGGAAUGCUUUACACAUGCAAGUCGAACGGCAGCACGGGAGCUUGCUCCUGGUGGCGAGUGGCGAACGGGUGAGUAAUGCAUCGGAACGUACCUAUUAGUGGGGGAUAACUAUCCGAAAGGAUAGCUAAUACCGCAUACGUCCUGAGGGAGAAAGCGGGGGAUCGCAAGACCACGCGCUAAUAGAGCGGCCGAGGAGGGAUUAGCUAGAUGGUGGGGUAAAGGCCUACCAAGGCGACUAUCCAUAGCGGGUCUGAGAGGAGGAUAAGACGCGCUGGGACUGAGACACGGCCCAGACUCCUACGGGAGGGAGCAGUGGUGAAUGUUGGACAAGGGGGGCAACCCUGAUCCAGCCAGUCCGCGUGAGUGAAGAAGGCCUUCGGGUUGUAAAGCUCUUUCGGCAGGAGCGAAACGGUGUUUACUAAUACUAGCUACUAAUGACGGUACCUGAAGAAGAAGCACCGGCUAACUACGUGCCAGCAGCCGCGGUAA
Molecule: ribosomal RNA, 502 nt
Filed under: uncultured bacterium
Lineage: Bacteria
Description: partial 16S ribosomal RNA
Rfam family: Bacterial small subunit ribosomal RNA
Source: RNAcentral